Chinchilla lanigera (long-tailed chinchilla) is the source of this 638-nucleotide long non-coding RNA. RefSeq lists it as uncharacterized. The transcript is spliced from 2 exons. Lineage: Eukaryota; Metazoa; Chordata; Mammalia; Rodentia; Chinchillidae. The record is from RefSeq and is a predicted model, not a curated record.
CCUCUCCCGGGCCCUCCGAGGCGAGGCCCCGGCUCGGGCGCGCACGGUCCCUGGGGAGGGGAGGGCCUGGUCACAGCAUCAGAAUGAAUCUUGUGAAGCGAUUUCCUGCCGCUGAAUUAAAGUGUAACCAGUGCUCUAGCCCCGGCGAGGAAGGAAGUGAAAAGGCUGGGAAUGGGAUGACAUUUUUCCCCCUGGGGACGCGGACCCACUGCGGAGCUCUUCCACUGUGUUGUUUGUGUUCUCUGUCUUGCCUUUAAAAGACGAAAUUAUCUGGAUUCUGACAUCCCCGUUUCAGGCCUGCUGAGUCACGGAAUAUUCUCAGCGCCAGAAUGACUCAGUUCGCAGAACCUGAGCCAGAAGAUCAUGAGUUUCAGUCCGAGAUCAGAACCUGGCCGCGGACCCAGGGCAGACAGAGCGGGUGACGACCGGGCGGAGCGGGUGCUGUAAAAUGGACCGGCAGAGUGCAGCGGGCUUAGACCUUGGCGUGCUCGAGCCAAGUGGAUGCACGAAGCAAAUGCACGAGACCGACUUUUCACUUUUCAGAAAAGACUUCAUUAAUACUGACAAAUUAAAGGGUGAGUCCUAUUUGUCUUCUACCAGAAAGGUAAAGAGAUAAAGAAAUCUCAAAGGUUGCAAAA